ACGGAAGGCAGCAGUGGGGAAUAUUGCACAAUGGGGGAAACCCUGAUGCAGCGACGCCGCGUGAAGGAAGAAGUAUCUCGGUAUGUAAACUUCUAUCAGCAGGGAAGAAAAUGACGGUACCUGACUAAGAAGCCCCGGCUAACUACGUGCCAGCAGCCGCGGUAAUACGUAGGGGGCAAGCGUUAUCCGGAUUUACUGGGUGUAAAGGGAGCGUAGACGGAAUUGCAAGUCUGAUGUGAAAGGCAUGGGCUCAACCCGUGGACUGCAUUGGAAACUGUAAUUCUUGAGUGCCGGAGGGGUAAGCGGAAUUCCUGGUGUAGCGGUGAAAUGUGUAGAUAUCAGGAGGAACACCGGUGGCGAAGGCGGCUUACUGGACGGCAACUGACGUUGAGGCUCGAAGGCGUGGGGAGCAAACAGGAUUAGAUACCCUGGUA
This 434-nucleotide ribosomal RNA is filed under the name uncultured Blautia sp. Its description in RNAcentral is "partial 16S ribosomal RNA". It matches the Rfam family "Bacterial small subunit ribosomal RNA", at positions 341 to 792 of the family's 1533-position model. Lineage: Bacteria; Bacillati; Bacillota; Clostridia; Lachnospirales; Lachnospiraceae. The record is from RNAcentral.